This 28-nucleotide small RNA is filed under the name Bombyx mori (domestic silkworm). Its description in RNAcentral is "ovarian small RNA-7838". The record is from RNAcentral. Lineage: Eukaryota; Metazoa; Arthropoda; Insecta; Lepidoptera; Bombycidae.
UGAAAACCUGAGUCGGGCAAAGGGCCUA